Papaver somniferum (opium poppy) is the source of this 1643-nucleotide long non-coding RNA. RefSeq lists it as uncharacterized. The transcript has 7 exons. The record is from RefSeq and is a predicted model, not a curated record. Lineage: Eukaryota; Viridiplantae; Streptophyta; Magnoliopsida; Ranunculales; Papaveraceae.
UUUGCCUCCCAUUUGUUGUUCUCUAUCCUCUUUCUCUGCUUAAAAAAAAAAAAUCAGCCUCACUCUUUAUCACCGAUGUAUCAACGCCAUGAGCUAAGCUUGAGAGAAAAACAUCUAAUACCCACCAUUUUCUCUUCAAUCUUUCCGUGAAAACCAUUUUCCUUCAAAACCCACCACCAUUAAACCUUCGGUAGAUAUCUUUCUCCUGUUUAUGUUGUUCUUCUAUCUUUCUCUUGAAAACCAACCACUAUUUUCUCUUCAAUCUUUCUCAUGCUUGAUUUUCUACAGAAAAGUUAGGGUUUGAAAUUUCAAAGUUAGGGUUUGGAAAAAAAAUCCAUUGAUUUCGAAGAUCUUGAGCUUCUGAAGGCAGAGUGAAGUUAUACAAUUAUUAUUAGAAUGUUCUUCGUAUUCCAAGUACUCGAUUAAUAGAGAUGGUUUCAGUCACAACUAAUCGUGGCCAAGAUGCCAUUCCUUCCUUCUCUGGUCGUUUGGGAUUGUACAUUGAAGGAUCAGUUUCCUCAACUAUGUCUGGUGUUGACAUUAGAGUUAUAGCAGCAAGAAAAAAAGUAAUAUCCCAUUAAGGAUCAGUUUCCUCAACUAUGUCUCAGUCGACGUUGCCUAAGCUCAAGAUUAUGAAUGGCUUGCUAGUACGAUGUUACUUGUUUCCUGAAGUAUUACCAGGGUUUGGUAAAGUGACUAGUAUUUUUUGAGUUUGGGGCGAGUCAGUUUCCAUGUGCAUCUGAUGCUACAUAUUUUUUAGUUUCGAAUAUUCACAUCUUUGAUUUAGAUUGACUAACCUUAUUGGAAGUUUUCUAGUUUAGUUGAGUAAUAGAAUUAUGUUUCAUAAAUUUCAUUGGUAGUGUACAUAUCUACUCCAUCUAUUUAUCUUGUUUUAUGAUAUCUUGUGAUGCUUAUAUGUAUGGCAGACUUGAUGUAUUAUCACUGCAGAACAUAGUAUGCAUGAUGCGCUUAGGUUCAGAACGGAGGUAAAGAAUGUACAGACAAAUAAAAUCAGUGAAUGGGCUAAUAAUGAAUCGUUAACCAAUUUGUGUUGGAAGUACUAUGCCAGCAACAAUAAAAGUGGUGAUACCACAGCUAUCGUGUCCAGUUGCGUUGUUUACAUACUACAACCUGAUACUUAAGCGUGGUGUUGAAAACUUCAUGGUUACUAUAAAAGAUGUUGGAAUACAUGGACCUGCUAGGUGUUACAGGUAGAUUAAGAACAAUCCAUACCCAAAGUCAAGGUAUUGUCAUGGCUUGAAAAAGAAAGGAGUUGAUGAGUUCUGUGUCCAUUUGGUGAGUCCCUUUCUGUGUCCACAACAAACACAACAACAAUCACAACAAGAAACACCAUGAAACACGAGAAUUCGUGGUGUCAAGUAUACGAUGUAUGAAGACGAGUCACUUUGUAGAAAUUAUGUAUUAUAUACAUUAGAUGACAUCAAUGGUAUUAGUCAAGAGAAAAAACCUUUUUAUGAUAAGAUUUUACAAAAAAUUUGUGAAGAAACAGGUAACCCCGAUAGACGUGAUGGCGAUGGGUUGUCUCAUCGUUUUCGCACAAUUUUAACAGCCGUUAGUGAAUUUGUAGAUUCGAUCACUCAAAUGUGGCACAAUUGAAGAAGUGGUUGUAGAGCAUUGCUCGG